Long non-coding RNA from Perognathus longimembris pacificus (Pacific pocket mouse), 3115 nucleotides. RefSeq lists it as uncharacterized. The record is from RefSeq and is a predicted model, not a curated record. The transcript has 2 exons. Lineage: Eukaryota; Metazoa; Chordata; Mammalia; Rodentia; Heteromyidae.
UAUUUGUGAAUUGUUUAAGUUCUCUCUUAUGAGAAAAGAUUUAAGCCAGUGUACAAAAUAAUUCAGACUUCAGAAACAGGAGUGAAGGCAAGGAAAGUUGAUGAGAGGAGAUAGUGAAGGCAUGGAAGAUAGUCACUACACUUACCUCAGCUUCACCUUUUCAGGAGCUGGUACAAAGAGGAACAGUUCAUUUGUUACAGGACUCUCUCCACCUUAGUGAAGUGAUAAAUGAACUACUGUCAAUUCUAAUAAUUUCCAGGUCUUGGGCAGAUAUCUUGAAGUGUGACUUACUAGUGGAAUUUUACUUGUCCAAUCUAGGAAUGGAAACCUAGCUUCCAAGCCUUCAAUUUAAUGUCUUAAUCCUAUCUGUGUCUGUUGACACUGACAUUGAAAUUUCUCCUUUAAUAUCCUUGAUUCUAUGCCUCCCUGAAGUGGCUCAAACUGGCAUUUCAGAUAGUGAAGCACAGCUCACAUAGAACCUCCCUUACUACUGCUAAAGGCCAAUUAUGUCUGGUAGAGCUUAUUUGAGCAAGAAAAGCAAACCAAACAAAGUUCAAGGAAGUAAAACCCAAACAGAUGGUGAUCAGCUAAUCAGGUACCUCACAGGACCAGAACUAAUUCUGAGAAAUCUACCCAAUUCCAUUAUUGGUCAGUAUUUAUAGAGAAAUUCAACCUAAUUGCUAUAGUUACUCAGCUAGCUAAUUGAUUGUAGCUAAGUCACUUGGCUUCAAGGCCUCAUAUAGCUCACCAGUUUUAGUGCUGUGAUUGAACUCUGUGUAGAAGCUUAGACUGACUUCCUGGACUUUUAUAAUUUUACUUAACACUGUGUGUAUAUCAUUAGUGUUGCUCUGAAGGCUUGGUUUCUACAAGUCUAUCUGAAGAUCGGCCCUAGUAGAAAGGCCACAUUGAGACUGGUCUGAGGCAACCUUGAGGUUACUUGUAGUCGACUACUUUGGAGCCAAGUGUGGUGUUGUGUCUACAAGACUCAACAUUGCUUCGUGUAUUUUCCACAGCUUGGCUGCUGAUGGUUGGCUGGGCAGCAGGAAAAGCUGCUCACAUCCCUACUGUGUAGGAAUUUUGACUAGUUUUCAUUACAUGGAAGAAACGACACCUGCAUAACAAACUCAUUAAAGGAAUACAAUGAUGAUGGUAAAGGGUGUGAAAGUAUAGGGUGCUUGGUACAUAACAUAUACUAUUAUGAUUGUGUAUUUGUUCCAGUCUAUACUCUCAGUUCCUAAAGUGGAGAAGUAAAUUGAAAUCAGAUCUAGAUUUUUCUGUUCCUUAAAGUUAUUUAUAGCUUUAAUUUCUUACAGGAAUUAAUCCAGAAUUAAGUUGUAGAAAUUACAGAUUUGUUUCAACAAAAAAUGAAGUAUCAUUGUAUUAAUUUCUUGCCAGGAAGAAAUGCAAAUUAAUUAAUUCUGUUGAUUCUAUAGUUUAGUUAUGCUAUGUAAUGUCUGACUAGGUACAGUCUUUUGUGACAAGAAAGUGGGAUUGUUGUAAGAACUUUCCUGGUUAGGUGGGAAUGUGUGGUUGUUCACUUUGAAUGGGAAAUAUAGUCAUUGAAUAUCUAUACCAUCUGUCUAUUUGUCUGUGAUGGUACUGGAGUUUGAGCUCAGGGCCUCUUGGUUUGUUAGGCAAGUGCUCUACCACUUGAGCCAUGAUGCCCCAGCCUCCUUUUGCUUUAUUUUUCAGAUAAGGUCUUGUAUGUUAUGUUUUACCUGGGGCUGGCCUUAAACUUCAAUCCUCCUACCUAUGAAUAGUUAGGAUUACAGGCAUAUACCAUCAUGUCCAGCUUGUUUGAUAGGAUGAGGAUCUCAUUUUCCUCCCAUCUCUGGUGGCCAAAAAUGGCAAUCUUCCUGAUCUCUCUAGUAGUUGAGGUUAUAGGCAUGAACCACCACACUUGACUCUGAGUAUUUAUUAUUUUUGAGGAUGAAACCGUCAUAUUAUUUUGACAAAUCUGAAUAUUAUAACAGGUUGUGAUUUUUCCAUUAUUCCAGGUCAUCCCUUCCCUGGGUUUCACGUUGUUGCCAUGUUACCUUCUUGAAGUCUGUAACUUUUGCUGUGCGCUGUGCUGAUGUACCUGGUGCCUUUACAUCUACUAGACUGUCCCUGGUGAUCUUUUUGUCCAUCUGACUGCCUCAAUAGCAUGUGCCAGGCUUCCUAGAAAGCCUUGCCCUUCUUUCUGUCCCCUCUGGUGGGGGAGUUAGCCAUCUAGGUGUGCCACACUUCCACUUGGUAAAUAUGUCCCUUGCUGCUCUUAGGAUCUUAUUUUACUAUGUUUAUUUCACUUCUUUGUGUGCUAUAGUGUUCAAAGUUCAUGUUUUGAGUAUAUUUAUGUGUCCAUUUUCUAUCAUAGUGCAUAGUAGGAGGGCAAGAAAGGGUUGUCAGACAAGGCUCAACCACAGACUCUGGUUAUAAAUGUUCAGAUUCAUAUUCCUUCUUUAAAAGUUAAUGAUGAAGUAACACCUGUGUUUCAAUAGAGAAAGUCACAGAUUUUCUCCAGUAGAAACUAUUGUGGAUUAUUUGUGACUCAUAGAGCCAUCAGGCUGCAGGAAUAUUCUCAGUGAUUUGUGGAUGAUAGGGAAUUGGAUUCCGCACACCAAGAACACUGUUGAGACAUUUGUCUUCUGUUGGAAGAGGCAUGUUUGAGUCUUCUCAUCUGUCUGGCCCUGAAGAGAGGCCUCAGAAUUCAGAGUCCACAUGUGACUUUGUGGGAUAUUCUGACAGCCAGAUACAACACUGACUGACAAACUGUGUUCUCUAGAAACUCUGCUCUUCAGAGGAAAAGCAAAAACAAUGCUGUUUUGUUUCUUUGUACAAUAGUGUUCUUUUCUGUGACAAAAUGUAAUUGUUUGUGAUUAUUAGUUUUUGCUAAGGGUGAGCACAUUUGAAGUUAAAAAAUUCUUCUGGCCUUUUCAUAAAUAAAUUUAGCCUGAGUUAAAUCUUUCAGUUAGAAUAUUGACCAUGAGGCAUUCACAGGAGAGAUUGCUCAGAAGGUUCACAUGGUCAGUUUCCUCUGAAAAUGCCCACUUACUGAAAGAACAUUAAAAUCAUACCUUUUAAAAGAGAACCAUUUGGAGUUAUACAACAUUUGUGAUUAUAAACAAGUAAGUUA